RNAcentral lists this unclassified non-coding RNA (336 nucleotides) under soil metagenome. Its description in RNAcentral is "partial contains 5.8S ribosomal RNA, internal transcribed spacer 2, and large subunit ribosomal RNA". The stretch from base 1 to 120 matches the Rfam family "5.8S ribosomal RNA", at positions 35 to 154 of the family's 154-position model. The record is from RNAcentral.
GAUGAAGAACGCAGCGAAAUGCGAUAAGUAAUGUGAAUUGCAGAAUUCAGUGAAUCAUCGAAUCUUUUAAUGCACAUUGCGCCCGCCAGUAUUCUGGCGGGCAUGCCUGUUCGAGCGUCAUUUCAACCAUCAAGCCCCCGGCUUGUGUUGGGGACCUGCGGCUGCCGCAGGCCCUGAAAAGCAGUGGCGGGCUCGCUGUCACACCGAGCGUAGUAGCAUACAUCUCGCUCUGGGCGUGCUGCGGGUUCCGGCCGUUAAACCACCUUCAUAACCCAAGGUUGACCUCGGAUCAGGUAGGAAGACCCGCUGAACUUAAGCAUAUCAAUAAGCGGAGGA